UACGGAGGGUGCAAGCGUUAUCCGGAUUCACUGGGUUUAAAGGGUGCGUAGGUGGGCAGGUAAGUCAGUGGUGAAAUCUCCGAGCUUAACUCGGAAACUGCCGUUAAUACUAUUUGUCUUGAAUAUUGUGGAGGUAAGCGGAAUAUGUCAUGUAGCGGUGAAAUGCUUAGAUAUGACAUAGAACACCAAUUGCGAAGGCAGCUUACUACACAACUAUUGACGCUGAGGCACGAAAGCGUGGGGAGCGAACAGG
This 253-nucleotide ribosomal RNA is filed under the name uncultured bacterium. RNAcentral describes it as "partial 16S ribosomal RNA". It matches the Rfam family "Bacterial small subunit ribosomal RNA", at positions 524 to 776 of the family's 1533-position model. The record is from RNAcentral.